UACGAGGGAUCCUAGCGUUGUUCGGAAUCAUUGGGCGUAAAGGGUGCGUAGGCGGCUAAGUAAGUCAGUUGUGAAAGCCCCGGGCUCAACCCGGGAAGUGCUUCUGAUACUGCUUAGCUUGAGUAUUGGAGAGGUGAGUGGAAUUCCAGGUGUAGUGGUGAAAUACGUAGAUAUCUGGAGGAACACCGGCGGCGAAGGCGGCUCACUGGCCAUAUACUGACGCUGAAGCACGAAAGCGUGGGGAUCAAACAGG
RNAcentral lists this ribosomal RNA (253 nucleotides) under uncultured bacterium. RNAcentral describes it as "partial 16S ribosomal RNA". It matches the Rfam family "Bacterial small subunit ribosomal RNA", at positions 524 to 776 of the family's 1533-position model. The record is from RNAcentral.